RNAcentral lists this ribosomal RNA (448 nucleotides) under uncultured organism. RNAcentral describes it as "partial 16S ribosomal RNA". It matches the Rfam family "Bacterial small subunit ribosomal RNA", at positions 331 to 796 of the family's 1533-position model. The record is from RNAcentral.
GUACACUCCUACGGGAGGCAGCAGUGGGGAAUAUUGGACAAUGGGCGCAAGCCUGAUCCAGCCAUGCCGCGUGAGUGAUGAAGGCCCUAGGGUUGUAAAGCUCUUUCACCGGUGAAGAUAAUGACGGUAACCGGAGAAGAAGCCCCGGCUAACUUCGUGCCAGCAGCCGCGGUAAUACGAAGGGGGCUAGCGUUGUUCGGAUUUACUGGGCGUAAAGCGCACGUAGGCGGACUAUUAAGUCAGGGGUGAAAUCCCGGGGCUCAACCCCGGAACUGCCUUUGAUACUGGUAGUCUUGAGUUCGAGAGAGGUGAGUGGAAUUCCGAGUGUAGAGGUGAAAUUCGUAGAUAUUCGGAGGAACACCAGUGGCGAAGGCGGCUCACUGGCUCGAUACUGACGCUGAGGUGCGAAAGCGUGGGGAGCAAACAGGAUUAGAAACCCGAGUAGUCC